This 486-nucleotide ribosomal RNA is filed under the name uncultured bacterium. RNAcentral's name for it is "partial 16S ribosomal RNA". It matches the Rfam family "Bacterial small subunit ribosomal RNA", at positions 28 to 507 of the family's 1533-position model. The record is from RNAcentral.
GAUGAACGCUAGCGGCAGGCUUAACACAUGCCAGUCGAGGGGCAGCGCGGGAUAGCAAUAUCCUGGCGGCGACCGGCGGAAGGGUGCGUAACGCGUGAGCGACAUGCCCGUUGCCCGGGGACAACCGGUGGAAACGCCGACUAAUCCCCGAUGGGAUACGAUGCUUCAUGGCAUUGUAUUGAAAGUUACGGCGGCGACGGAUUGGCUCGCGUCCGAUUAGCUGGUUGGCGGGGUAACGGCCCACCAAGGCUGCGAUCGGUAGGGGUUCUGAGAGGAAGGCCCCCCACAAUGGGACUGAGACACGGCCCAUACUCCUACGGGAGGCAGCAGUGAGGAAUAUUGGUCAAUGGGCGGAAGCCUGAACCAGCCAUGCCGCGUGCGGGAAGGAGGCCCUAUGGGCUGUGAACCGCUUUUGCCUGGGGGCAAUAAGGGCGUCGCGCACGUUCGAUGAGAGUACCAGGCGAAUAAGCAUCGGCUAACUCCGUG